RNAcentral lists this ribosomal RNA (319 nucleotides) under uncultured eukaryote. RNAcentral describes it as "partial 18S ribosomal RNA". It matches the Rfam family "Eukaryotic small subunit ribosomal RNA", at positions 1470 to 1796 of the family's 1831-position model. The record is from RNAcentral.
CCCUUAGAUGUCCUGGGCCGCACGCGUGCUGCACUGACGCCUACAGCGAGUACUUCCCAGCCCCGAGAGGUGGCUGGUAAUCAGCAAUAGGCGUCGUGAUGGGGAUAGAUCUUUGGAAUUAUGGAUCUUGAACGAGGAAUGCCUAGUAAGCGCAGGUCAUUAGCCUGCGCUGAUUAAGUCCCUGCCCUUUGUACACACCGCCCGUCGCUCCUACCGAUUUCGAGUGGUCCGGUGAAUCUUUCGGACUGCGCGCGGCCUCGUGCCGUGUCGCGGAAAGUCAGGUAAACCUUAUCACUUAGAGGAAGGAGAAGUCGUAACA